Fukomys damarensis (Damara mole-rat) is the source of this 294-nucleotide long non-coding RNA. RefSeq lists it as uncharacterized. NCBI's taxonomy places the organism in Eukaryota, Metazoa, Chordata, Mammalia, Rodentia, Bathyergidae. The transcript is spliced from 3 exons. The record is from RefSeq and is a predicted model, not a curated record.
CCCCUCAGCUGCGCUCGCCACACGCCCUCCGUUCGCACCGACUUCUCCCCAGCCUCGCAGACCCUGGCUGGAUACUGAGCCUCGGGAGGAGACGUGAGCAGCUGGCGCCGGAGUGGGGCACACCGCGGCGCCGGACCGGGAGGAGAGCUAGGCGUGAUCGAAGGGUAUGGUUGGCAUGGAAUUGAAUUUCAUCUAUCUAUGGGAAUUGUAAGCAAGCUGCCAUCACGAAAGCCAAAGUGGAUUUCUCCAGUGUGGUGUGCCUGCCCCCUUCCGUCAUUGCUGUGAAUGGGCUGG